AUAGGUCGAAGAGUCACAAUCACAACACUCAGAACCUACAUGAAUAUGGUUACUGUAUAAUUCAUCCUUUUGACCCCUGUGUUUAGGAUGACUCAGGGUUAAACUGUCAACCCUGAUCAGAUCAUCCGAAUCGUGCUCAACUCAAACAGUCCUGUGACUCUUCACAAGGACUACCCUGGCCAAGGUUUUGCUAAAUUAAAACAUGACUAUACAUAGCUCCUAAACUAGAGUGGUCAAUCCCAUCUUGACACACGCACCGACAAGUCAAGUACUUGACUACACCCAGCAGCCUUCCGUCACUGAAUUAAAAAUUCAGGUAGUCCAGUGUCUAAGUGCAGUGAGUUGCUUGCAAGUCACCGUGACGG
Molecule: long non-coding RNA, 365 nt
Filed under: Elaeis guineensis (African oil palm)
Lineage: Eukaryota; Viridiplantae; Streptophyta; Magnoliopsida; Arecales; Arecaceae
Description: long non-coding RNA (EGUI_LNC080355)
Source: RNAcentral